RNAcentral lists this transfer RNA (74 nucleotides) under Candidatus Rubidus massiliensis. RNAcentral's name for it is "tRNA-Thr". It matches the Rfam family "tRNA". Rfam says of the family: Transfer RNA (tRNA) molecules are approximately 80 nucleotides in length. The record is from RNAcentral. Lineage: Bacteria; Pseudomonadati; Chlamydiota; Chlamydiia; Chlamydiales; Chlamydiaceae.
UGCCCAGAUAGCUCAGUGGUAGAGCACUUGCAUGGUAAGCAAGUGGUCGAAGGUUCAAUUCCUUUUCUGGGCAA